Molecule: ribosomal RNA, 443 nt
Filed under: uncultured bacterium
Lineage: Bacteria
Description: partial 16S ribosomal RNA
Rfam family: Bacterial small subunit ribosomal RNA
Source: RNAcentral
CCUACGGGAGGCAGCAGUGGGGAAUAUUGGGCAAUGGAGGCAACUCUGACCCAGCAACGCCGCGUGCAUGAUGAAGGUCUUCGGAUUGUAAAGUUCUUUUCUAAGGGAAGAAGAAAGUGACGGUACCUUAGGAAUAAGCCUCGGCUAACUACGUGCCAGCAGCCGCGGUAAUACGUAGGAGGCAAUCGUUAUCCGGAAUGACUGGGCGUAAAGGGUGCGUAGGUGGUUUGACAAGUUGGUAGCGUAACUCCGGGGCUCAACUUCGGAACUGCUACCAAAACUGGUGGACACGAGUGCAGGAGGGGAAACUGGAAUUUCUAGUGUAGCGGUGGAAUGCGUAGAUAUUAGGAAGAACACCGGUGGCGAAGGCGAGUUGCUGGACUGUAACUGACGCUGAGGCACGAAAGCGUGGGGAGCAAACAGGAUUAGAUACCCCUGUAGUC